UUGUGAACUUUAGGGUGCUCUUAUCUGCAGAGGGUUUCAUCCACUCAUCCACUCAUUCUUCCUGGCAUUGCUACCACCACUUUAUGUGGUCAUUUUGCCACUUUGUCACCUCCUUCAUCUGUUUUACUUUUUCCUGCUUCAUCUUGACAAGUCACUUGAGGGGGUCCAUAUCUCUGGAGGCAAGGCAGGAACAAGAAGGAUGAAUUAAGAAGGUCAAUGAAACUGACCUUGGACCCAAAUGAAAGAUUUACACGUGUUUUCCUGACAAACAAAGACAAUCUUACAUGAUUUCUGCUCCAGAGAAUGUGAGAGAAGGUUUAUAUUGCUGCCAUUUGGAACAUAUAUGAAGAUUAGUUUCCAGUUUGAUUUGUUUAUAUGGUGUGCCAAAUCCUUGUGAACUCCUGCACUGGAUGUUUUUAUAGUUACCAA
This is a long non-coding RNA of Cygnus olor (mute swan), 429 nucleotides long. RefSeq lists it as uncharacterized. NCBI's taxonomy places the organism in Eukaryota, Metazoa, Chordata, Aves, Anseriformes, Anatidae. The transcript has 3 exons. The record is from RefSeq and is a predicted model, not a curated record.